Molecule: ribosomal RNA, 497 nt
Filed under: uncultured bacterium
Lineage: Bacteria
Description: partial 16S ribosomal RNA
Rfam family: Bacterial small subunit ribosomal RNA
Source: RNAcentral
GAUGAACGCUGGCGGUGUGCCUAAUACAUGCAAGUCGAGCGAACAGACGAGGAGCUUACUCCUCUGACGUUAGCGGCGGACGGGUGAGUAACACGUGGAUAACCUACCUAUAAGACUGGGAUAACUUCGGGAAACCGGAGCUAAUACCGGAUAACAUGUUGAACCGCAUGGUUCAACAGUGAAAGACGGUCUUGCUGUCACUUAUAGAUGGAUCCGCGUCGCAUUAGCUAGUUGGUAAGGUAACGGCUUACCAAGGCAACGAUGCGUAGCCGACCUGAGAGGGUGAUCGGCCACACUGGAACUGAGACACGGUCCAGACUCCUACGGGAGGCAGCAGUAGGGAAUCUUCCGCAAUGGGCGAAAGCCUGAUGGAGCAACGCCGCGUGAGUGAAGAAGGUCUUCGGAUCGUAAAACUCUGUUAUUAGGGAAGAACAAAUGUGUAAGUAACUAUGCACGUCUUGACGGUACCUAAUCAGAAAGCCACGGCUAACUACGUG